This 501-nucleotide ribosomal RNA is filed under the name uncultured bacterium. RNAcentral describes it as "bacterial SSU rRNA". It matches the Rfam family "Bacterial small subunit ribosomal RNA", at positions 29 to 523 of the family's 1533-position model. The record is from RNAcentral.
AACGAACGCUGGCGGCGCGCCUAAUACAUGCAAGUCGAGCGAGAAGGUGUAGCAAUACACUUGUAAAGCGGCGAACGGGUGAGGAAUGCAUGGGUAACCUACCCUCGAGUGGGGAAUAACUAGCCGAAAGGUUAGCUAAUACCGCAUACGUUUCCGGAACUUCGGUUUCGGAAAGAAAGCGAUACCGUGGGUAUUGCGCUCCUGGAUGGGCUCAUGUCCUAUCAGCUUGUUGGUGAGGUAACGGCUCACCAAGGCUUCGACGGGUAGCUGGUCUGAGAGGACGAUCAGCCACACUGGCACUGCGACACGGGCCAGACUCCUACGGGAGGCAGCAGUAAGGAAUAUUGCGCAAUGGACGAAAGUCUGACGCAGCGACGCCGCGUGGGGGAUGAAGGUCUUUGGAUUGUAAACCCCUUUCGGGAGGGAAGAUGGAGUGGGUAACCACUUGGACGGUACCUCCAGAAGCAGCCACGGCUAACUUCGUGCCAGCAGCCGCGGUAA